Molecule: unclassified non-coding RNA, 348 nt
Filed under: soil metagenome
Description: partial contains 5.8S ribosomal RNA, internal transcribed spacer 2, and large subunit ribosomal RNA
Rfam family: 5.8S ribosomal RNA (bases 1-120)
Source: RNAcentral
GAUGAAGAACGCAGCGAAAUGCGAAAAGUAAUGUGAAUUGCAGAAUUCAGUGAAUCAUCGAAUCUCUGAACGCACAUUGCGCCCGCCAGUAUUCUGGCGGGCAUGCCUGUCUGAGCGUCAUUUCAACCCUCAUGCCCCUAGGGCGUGGUGUUGGGGAUCGGCCAGCGCCCGCGAGGGACGGCCGGCCCCUAAAUCUAGUGGCGGACCCGUCGUGGCCUCCCCUGCGAAGUAGUGAUAUUCCGCAUAGGAGAGCGACGAGCCCCUGCCGUUAAACCCCCAACUUUCUAAGGUUGACCUCAGAUCAGGUAGGAAUACCCGCUGAACUUAAGCAUAUCAAUAAGCGGAGGA